Molecule: ribosomal RNA, 1053 nt
Filed under: Triticum aestivum (bread wheat)
Lineage: Eukaryota; Viridiplantae; Streptophyta; Magnoliopsida; Poales; Poaceae
Description: partial small subunit ribosomal RNA
Source: RNAcentral
GUCGUGACCCUGGCCGCGCUUCUCUCGUCAGACGCCGUGGUCGCCUGCAUCGACGUGGGCUUCUACGACAGGACGUGCCCGUCCGCCGAGACCCUGGUGCAGCAGACUGUGGCCGCCGCCUUCGGCAACGACUCCGGCGUCGCCCCGGCCAUCAUCCGCCUCCACUUCCACGACUGCUUCGUCAAGGGCUGCGACGGCUCCGUGCUGAUCGACUCCACGCCUGGCAACAAGGCGGAGAAGGACUCGGCACCCAACUUCCCUAGCCUCCGCUUCUUCGACGUGGUGGACCGCGCCAAGGCGGCCCUCGAGGCGCAGUGCCCCGGCGUCGUCUCCUGCGCCGACGUCCUCGCCUUCGCCGCGCGGGACAGCGUCGUUCUGUCGGGCGGCCUCGGGUACCAGGUGCCCGCCGGGCGCCGGGACGGCCGUGUGUCCACCGAAACGGACGCGCUCAACAACCUGCCCGGGCCGACGUCCACCGCCUCCGACCUGGUCGCCGGCUUCGCCGCCAAGAACCUCACCGUCGAGGACAUCGUCGUCCUCUCCGGCGCCCACACCAUCGGCGUCUCCCACUGCAGCAGCUUCACCGAGCGAAUCUACAACUUCCCCAACACAACCGACGGGAUUGACCCGAAGCUGAGCAAGGCGUACGCGUUCUUGCUCAAGGGCAUCUGCCCGCCGAACAGCAACCAGACGUUCCCGACGACGACGACCCUCAUGGACCUCAUCACGCCGGCGAGGUUCGACAACAAGUACUACGUGGGGCUGACCAACAACCUGGGCCUCUUCCAGUCGGACGCGGCGCUGCUGACCAACGCCACCAUGAAAUCGCUGGUCGACUCCUUCGUGCGCAGCGAGGCGGCGUUCCGGACCAGGUUCGCCAGGUCCAUGCUCAAGAUGGGGCAGAUCGAGGUGCUCUCCGGGGCACAGGGCGAGAUCAGGCGCAACUGCAGGGUCAUCAACCCCACCAACGUCACUAGUGCCGGCGCCGUUCACCAUCAUCUUCUCCCCAGAUCAUCAGCUUCUUCAGGAUCCAACCAGGUGGCCGCAAGCUGA